Camelina sativa (false flax) is the source of this 484-nucleotide non-coding RNA. The record is from RefSeq and is a predicted model, not a curated record. Lineage: Eukaryota; Viridiplantae; Streptophyta; Magnoliopsida; Brassicales; Brassicaceae.
AAUUGCUGGUUUAGUGAUCUUUAUUAUUUUUCCUUGUAGUGGCACAACUGACCACUAAGAUCAAGCAUCUGUCCUCUGUUCUACAUAAAAAGGACAAGCAUUCGCGAAAGGGACUUAUAGCAAUGGUGCAGAGACGGAAGAAACUGUUGAAGUACAUGAGACGAACGGACUGGGAUUCUUACUGCCUUUCACUGUCAAAACUCGGCCUUCGUGACAACCCAGAUUACAAGUGUUAAAAUUUUGUGCAAGUGACAUUAUAGAAUUGUGAUCUCAGUACUCUCUCUUUGUUAUUUUCAUUAUGGCAAAAGAGAUAAUGUGGGUUCUCUUAUGAUCUUAUCAAAUCAUAUUGGGGAGGAAAGUUGUUCUAUUAGAGUUUAUUUGUUGCAGGCUGUUUUGGCGAGUAGAGAACAAAAAGGUUGUGGGAUAUUACUUUCUUUGACAUUGUCUUUAUACUUUGAAUGUGAUAAUAAACUUACUUCUCGAA